GUGCUUGCUUCAGCAGCAUAUGUACUAAAAUUGGAACAAUACAGAGAUUAGCUUGCCCCCUGUGUAAGGAUGACACACAAAUUCAUGAAGCGUUCCAUGUUUUU
RNAcentral lists this small nuclear RNA (104 nucleotides) under Castor canadensis (American beaver). The record is from RNAcentral. Lineage: Eukaryota; Metazoa; Chordata; Mammalia; Rodentia; Castoridae.